RNAcentral lists this microRNA precursor (58 nucleotides) under Petromyzon marinus (sea lamprey). Its description in RNAcentral is "Pma-Mir-10-P2o1_pre stem-loop". It matches the Rfam family "mir-10 microRNA precursor family", at positions 8 to 66 of the family's 74-position model. From Rfam's summary of the family: In this case the mature sequence comes from the 5' arm of the precursor. Lineage: Eukaryota; Metazoa; Chordata; Hyperoartia; Petromyzontiformes; Petromyzontidae. The record is from RNAcentral.
AACCCGUAGAUCCGAACUUGUGGUGGGAGUUUUGCACAAGCUCGUGUCUACGGGUCUG